RNAcentral lists this unclassified non-coding RNA (353 nucleotides) under soil metagenome. RNAcentral describes it as "partial contains 5.8S ribosomal RNA, internal transcribed spacer 2, and large subunit ribosomal RNA". The stretch from base 1 to 120 matches the Rfam family "5.8S ribosomal RNA", at positions 35 to 154 of the family's 154-position model. The record is from RNAcentral.
GAUGAAGAACGCAGCGAAAUGCGAUAAGUAAUGUGAAUUGCAGAAUUCAGUGAAUCAUCGAAUCUUUGAACGCGCAUUGCGGCCGCCAGUAUUCUGGCGGGCAUGCCUGUUCGAGCGUCAUUACAACCCUCAGGCCCCCGGGCCUGGCGUUGGGGAUCGGCGGAAGCCCCCUGCGGGCACAACGCCGUCCCCCAAAUACAGUGGCGGUCCCGCCGCAGCUUCCAUUGCGUAGUAGCUAACACCUCGCCACUGGAGAGCGGCGCGGCCACGCCGUAAAACACCCAACUUCUGAAUGUUGACCUCGAAUCAGGUAGGAAUACCCGCUGAACUUAAGCAUAUCAAUAAGCGGAGGA